RNAcentral lists this ribosomal RNA (247 nucleotides) under uncultured bacterium. RNAcentral's name for it is "partial 16S ribosomal RNA". It matches the Rfam family "Bacterial small subunit ribosomal RNA", at positions 57 to 305 of the family's 1533-position model. The record is from RNAcentral.
GCAAGUCGAACGGUAGCAGCUCCUGCUUGCAGGAGGCUGACGAGUGGCGGACGGGUGAGUAACGCGUAGGAAUCUACCUUAGAGAUUGGGAUAACGUUAGGAAACUGAGGCUAAUACCGAGUGUAAUAUACGAAGUAAAGGUUGCCCUUUGGGCAGUCGCUUUAAGAUGAGCCUGCGUUGGAUUAGCUAGUAGGUGGGGUAAAGGCUGACCUAGGCGACGAUCCAUAGCUGGUCUGAGAGGAUGAUC